This 313-nucleotide ribosomal RNA is filed under the name uncultured bacterium. Its description in RNAcentral is "bacterial SSU rRNA". It matches the Rfam family "Bacterial small subunit ribosomal RNA", at positions 501 to 813 of the family's 1533-position model. The record is from RNAcentral.
CUACGUGCCAGCAGCCGCGGUAAUACGUAGGGGGCAAGCGUUAUCCGGAUUUACUGGGUGUAAAGGGAGCGCAGACGGCCAAGCAAGUCUGAAGUGAAAUGCAUGGGCUCAACCCAUGAAUUGCUUUGGAAACUGUUUGGCUUGAGUGUCGGAGGGGUAAGCGGAAUUCCUAGUGUAGCGGUGAAAUGCGUAGAUAUUAGGAGGAACACCGGAGGCGAAGGCGGCUUACUGGACGACAACUGACGUUGAGGCUCGAAGGCGUGGGGAGCAAACAGGAUUAGAUACCCUGGUAGUCCACGCAGUAAACGAUGAA